This is a long non-coding RNA of Xiphias gladius (swordfish), 5914 nucleotides long. RefSeq lists it as uncharacterized. NCBI's taxonomy places the organism in Eukaryota, Metazoa, Chordata, Actinopteri, Istiophoriformes, Xiphiidae. The record is from RefSeq and is a predicted model, not a curated record. The transcript has 4 exons.
UGCAAAGAGCAGAGGUGACCCAUGGACUCGCAAUGCUGCGCUUACAUGGAAAGAGCCGAGACAAAAGCAAGCUCUUUCCUGGACGUAAUGGAGCCGGGAUGAAUCAUCAGGCCUGCUAGGGGAAGUUUGGCGGUAACAGGACCUUUGCCUUGGGCCUGGGGGCCAGCGGUUUGAGGACGGGGCCUUUGAUCGGUUUCCCUGCGGAUCCGCUGAGGGGAGCCGACUUCCUGCUGGACGUCAUGUUGUCCAGGAUGUGUGUCGCUCGAGGCGGACCCGACGAGGCCGGCGGUUUCCCCGAUCCAAGGACCUGAAAAUAUCCCAGUAAACCCUUUAACGUCGUUCCAAUUAACAGUCUCUAUGCAUCUUCCACGGUUUCUGCAGGGUUCACCAAGAUAAAUUCGGGACUUUUUAAUCCCACACAGAAUGCAAUUUAAUCAAGUUUCAUGGUCUCAUCGACCAAAUAAAGAAAGAUAUUAAUGAGAACCAAUAGUGAAGAUAGAAUAAUUGCAAGUGCAUCAAUUUAUUGACAUUUAUAUGACACUUUUUCAGCACUUCCCAGCAGUAAAUAACAGUAAUUCCUAAUAAUAUCAUUAGUCAUUCGUUAGUUAAAAACAACCUGGACCUGGAACAAUAAUACUCCAGCAAACAAAAACAAGUAACAUUACUGCCUACAGCAGGCUAGAAGAAAAAUAUCUAAGACCUCUGUGAAUGAAACUCAAGACUUUUUAAUACCUUUAAAGGUCUUUUUUGGAGGAAACUGAAAUCAAUGCCUUUUAAGAUUUUUUAAGACUGUUUUGUUUUGUCUUUAAGAUCUAAAAUAAUCAGAGGAAACGGGGCUGGUGUCAAAGAAUCUUGAGUCCUUACCUUGAAAGGAUUUGCACGUCCUACUUUACCAACUGAAAAACAAGUUAGAGAAAUCAGGUGCACAUUCAGAUUAAAAAUGUCUUAACAACGUCCUGCCCUCCAAGCAAGGUUAUUACACAGUAAACACAACGGCCAAGACUGAACCUGAUGCUCUAGUGUUUCGUAAUGACCGCUACACGCUGCUCAAACUGAAGUGAACUGGAAAACCCAUAACUCGUUUUUUUUUUUUUUCUUCCCCCCAUUAAAAAAAAAAAAUCUAACGAAUUUUUCUACAGGACACGUUUGCUUCUGAACAUUGGCGCCCGACUAAGGCUGGUGCGGAUGUCAGUAUUUGCGAGUUUAAAAAUACGAAAACCACGUAUCACACAAUACUUGUUUUUGUUUUGUUUUUUUAAAAACAUUAAAACACAAAGAAUUUUUGAUAACGACCCGUUAAGUUUUGUUAAUAAAGAAUUGUAACCACAACUGAUUGAGCAGGACGUUUUGCAGUUGAAAAAUAAACUUGAACAUGAAUAACUAAAUAAAUACACAGUGCUCUCUGGUGGGCAAAGUCUACUUUAUAUUACUAUACUAAACAACUAAUAGAAUAAAUCACUAAUAAUCUAAAUCACCUCAGCAUACUUUUGUUAUUUCUGUACUGCAACUUCUUUCCUACUUCCCAGCCGACAGACACACUGACACACGACGUACAGAACCUGCGGUGAGCUGAAAUCAGCCUCUUUAUUUUUUUUAAAUUUAAACCGUGUCUAGUGCCUCGCUGACAUUUUCACAUCUGAUUAUCAAGGCGCAGAGAGUUGCGGAAGCACGUUUGCUUUGACUGACAAGGCGUCUCGACCUGUCACACUCAAAUCAUAGCGGCCGUCCCACCUCAGCUCCGCCCUGUCUCGCUCGGUAUUCGGAUUUUAAAACUGCGACAGCGAAAACUAGAUUCUAAUUUGGGCUUAAGAAAACCAUCCCGGCAGAAACCUUAUUGUAUGUUUAAUGUCACAAACACUUUAGUCUCAUCAGUCUGUGGUUAAUACUCACACUUAUCAAAUAAAACGUUGGAUCUCCGAUGUCUGGAUCAUAUGAGCAGUCUAAACUAUCAGAUACAAAAUCAGAUGGUACAGGAUAGUGUGUCUAACAUGAGUAAUUUUUGCUUGACACUUAGCAGAUGUCACUGCUUGAAUGUGAUUUACCAUUAUCGCUGGUAACCUUACAUUAUCUUUUGAACAUGUGAAUUUCUGAUCGAUGUUUUUUUUACUCACUUGGUGUCAGAGACGGCGUCACAGGUGAGCCGGCUUCCUUAGCAAACGGGUUCACGCCUACGGGAUGAGAGACACGGAUCACACGUGAGCUGGUACCAUUGACAUCUUGUGCUCUUGCAGAGAAGACAAACGGCACCGCGCUAAAGUUUUAGCCGCUUCGGAUUCUUAUCCGUCGUGAGUGAGAAUCACGGAGGCGAAUGAUCGGUCCAAAAUUCACUCUGCGGCACGAGACAACGAGCCCCGACAAUCAGCCAGAGUCGUGAAGAACAGACUUCAGAGACGAGAAGAACAAGGAGUCCUGCAACCGGUGGUCUGGCCCCCACAGACCCCUGAUCUCAGCAUCAUAGGGUCAGUCACGAGGAGACAGGAGACACUGAGACGGACUAGAUCCACAGGAGAACCGGGGCAGGUUCUCCAAGAUACUCGGAACAACCUACCUGCCGAGCGCCUUGAAAAAACCGUUUACUGCCCUUUGCCUGAAGUUAACUGAUAAAAUUAAAACUAUUGGUGACUUUAUUUUUGAAAGCUCCCUCACUUUACUUUCGGUGCACAGCACUGUACAUGUGCAAAGAGCUGAAGAAAGAGGUGGAACUGACGUUUUCUGGUUUCUGUUGUCUCCUCUGUCUCCACCUCCUGCCCGUCCUCUUCCUCGCCGAGCUCUUCUCCUUGCUCCUCUUCCUCCUCCUGAUUACGUCUGUUGCCGUAACGUCCUCCUGCGACCUCACUCUGGCCGUACCUGUCAAAAUACGAGGCGUGUGAAUCAAACAGUCUCCCCCCUUCCGUUGGAGCAGAGAUUAUAAAAUAAACACGGAGGGGCAGAUCUUUCACACGCUGUCUUUUUUUAGCAUUACCCCGAGGCCCGCCUGACGCUGGAGUAUUCUGGCUCCUCCUCCUGCUCCUCGGGCCCUUCUUCCUGGAUCUGGCUGGCUUUCUCCAGGGCGAUCUCGCUGAGCCGCUGGGCCAGGGCCAUGCGUCUGGACCGGGACGCGUAUCGAAUGGCCAGGGUCACCACGUUCUGGGUCAUCAGCUCCGCCAGCUCCACAGAGCGAAACUCCCUCUCCAGCUUGCAGGACAGCUGGGAGAAAAACAUCCAUCAGGAGAUAACAGGGCACACUUCUGAAUCAGGGCUCAUAAUAUCGAGUGGGAUCCCACAGGCGAUGCAUGCGGAUAAUCUCACCGCUCGGAGGUUUCAUACUCACUGCAAACAUCUUCAUGAGCAGCUCCUGCUGCCCCUUCUGCGAUUUACUCUGCGCGUCCUCGUCUAUCUCGUAGCCGCUGGAGGACAGGAAGCUGUAGUGGUUGUGGAAGAGGGCCGAACGCCAGAACUGCUCCUGGAGGACGACGGAGGACGGCAGGCUGAAUGGUUGCUUCCAAUUCACAUUACACGGAAAAACAGAAUGGACGUCCAGAUCUCCACUGGAUGCGAUUCAGUCUAGCAUUCGAUCCAUCCGUCAGUGUGUCCUACCAUGAAGCGGUGUGUCAGGUGUGCAGGGGUGGAGCCCGGCUGGAAGGCCUUCUGGGGAGGCGUUGGCAGGGGUCCCUCAUACACGGGACGCAAGGGCACCAGAGGGGCAGCCGCAGGCACCACAGCACUGCCGGCGUCAUCAUCGUCCCCGAACUUGUCCCGACCGAGCCUCAGCGAUCCCGUGUCUGAGCGGAGACACACGGGGAUUCACAGGAAACUUUGAAAUCUUAAAGCCAUUAAACCCAAACCACACAUUCAGACGGUAACACACUCAGCAAGGCAGCGGAAGUUCAUGUCUAUUUCCUACGGAGCGGAGAAACUCUGAGAAACUGCUGUGUGGAUAAUUAACAAGCUUGUCUACUACUGACGUCGUGGACAAAAGUGGUGAUGAAACGAUAAACUGAUCGACAGAAAAUUGACAACUUUGAUAAUCUACUAAUCAUUUAAAACAUCUAUCAAGCAAAAAUAGCAAAUAUUACCUAGUUUGAGCUUCUAAAAUUUUUAGGAAUUGCUGCUUUUCUCUGCUCUGUAUUAUUGAAUCUUUUGGCACAUUUCACUGUUUUCUGAUAUUUUUCUGAUUUAACGAUUAAUGGAUGAAUAGAUUAUCUUGCUCACUUGGGCAAGUAAUGGAUUACAGUCACUCAAACUUCUCUAUGCAUUUUCAACAAAUUUGAUCUCAAAUGUUGUGUUAAGAGCACUGCUGCAUCCACCAUUAUAGUAGGUGGUUGACCGUGAAGUCAUUUUACUGGAAAGAAGAGUCUAGUUUGAUGCUGAUUACAGGAAUAAUGAAGUUCUGUUUCUUUAGUUAGUUAUAUUAUUUGUGUUGAGAUUAUUAUUGACUCCCAAAUGAAUUUCCAGGAAAGAAACGGCCUCUUUUUGAACCCCACUGAAUAUUUAUCACUCAUUCAUUUAUUAUUCUUCGUUCAUGCUGAACCGUGUGUUUGUUUUGGAGAAAUAACUGGAAGUGGACCAACGGCUCGCUCUCUGUUUUACCCGCGAUUUGUACCAAAUUUUAUGGUUUUUUCCAGGAAACUUUUUAGGACAUUGUUUGGAAGGCAACUGGAAUUUACGAGCCCGUAAGAUAAAGCCUCCGUGGAUUUUCUGAUUUUUCUUGGUUUUAUAUCACGUAACAUGAAUAUCUCUGGGUUUUGAACUGUUGGUUGGACGAAAGACGUCUGAGGAUGUCCCACUGGGUUUCUGGAGUAUUGUGUAUUUUGAUAUUUCAUUAUUUUCUCCCAUUUUAAAGACCAAACGAUUCAUCUUUACACUGGUGAAAAAUUAAAUUAAAAACCUGAAUACAGGGCACAUUGGCUCACUGAAUGGUCUGAUGAAGGUGAAUCUCGUGCUGUAUCAGACAGACAUUAGAGACAUCAGAUCUAAACCCAGCUGAGCAGCUAUGGGAAAAUUUGGAGCGGCGGGUUAAACAGCGUUCUCCAUCGCCAUCAUCAAAAACACCAAAAAAGAGAAUAUCUUUUGGAGUAACGGCGUUCAUCUCUCCAGUGGACUUCCACAGAUAAUCCAUAACAAGGAGCACUGAAGUUUUUCCUGAGGAAUAUUCCAGAAAGCAUGUUUAGUGAAAACGCUGAUGUUUUUCUACUCUUUUUAUGUACCCAAUUCUCAGUUCAAAAGCAGAGAUCACUUUACCUCUGAGUCACCUGCUGUGGUAACUUACUCUGUGAACCUAAACUGCUCACUCUCCUCCCCUAAAGCCUGAAGAAGCUGACUGACAAACCGUCUCAUUUCCUCAUUCAUACAAGUCGAAAUCAAAGAGCUUAAAUUUGCACAAUUUCAUGUCGAUAGAAGAAGAUCAGAAUCCUGGAUGGAUAAUAUUAGUUUAUUACUCAAGGCAAAAACUGUAGAGUCAGUCAAUUUGAAGUUGCCAAAGAUAAAGCCCCCUGGCAUCAGAAUAUUGCAUGCAAAAAUACCUUGUUAAUUAUUGGCUAAUCAUAGGAUGACAGGCUAUUCAACCUAUCUGGGAAAACACCUUUCCCAUUGGGAAAUUACGCACCAAUGCACUGAAGACCUGGAUGUUCGAGUAUUCCACCAGCACACGUUUGUGGAUCGGAGGCCGUGAAAAGUCUCGACACUCCAAACGCAAAUGUGACCUGAUCAACAACAUGUCCGGCGACCCGUGCACACACAUUUAACAAUCCUUACGUCCAUGCAAAAGAACAUCACAAUACUUUUAAACCCUUAUAUGCACAGGAAGCUUUUAUCAAAAGCAAAUCUGAUCAGAUCAGUGAGCUUGAAGUUGGACAUAUAUACAUGUAAAAUACUGAUAUUCAAGUUGCAAUGUAUUUAUUUGUAAAAUUGUUUUACAUUUGUCCAAAAUGUUUGG